UUUACGGAGAGUUUGAUCCUGGCUCAGGACGAACGCUGGCGGCGUGCUUAACACAUGCAAGUCGAACGAUGAUCCAGAGCUUGCUUUGGUGAUUAGUGGCGAACGGGUGAGUAACACGUGAGUAACCUGCCCUUGACUCUGGGAUAAGCACUGGAAACGGUGUCUAAUACCGGAUACGACCUUUGACGGCAUCGUCUAUUGGUGGAAAGAAUUUUGGUCAAGGAUGGACUCGCGGCCUAUCAGGUUGUUGGUGAGGUAAUGGCUCACCAAGCCUACGACGGGUAGCCGGCCUGAGAGGGUGACCGGCCACACUGGGACUGAGACACGGCCCAGACUCCUACGGGAGGCAGCAGUGGGGAAUAUUGCACAAUGGGCGAAAGCCUGAUGCAGCAACGCCGCGUGAGGGAUGACGGCCUUCGGGUUGUAAACCUCUUUUAGUAAGGAAGAAGAACUUCGGUUUGACGGUACUUGCAGAAAAAGCACCGGCUAACUACGUGCCAGCAGCCGCGGUAAUACGUAGGGUGCAAGCGUUGUCCGGAAUUAUUGGGCGUAAAGAGCUCGUAGGCGGUUUGUCGCGUCUGCUGUGAAAACUGGAGGCUCAACCUCCAGCCUGCAGUGGGUACGGGCAGACUAGAGUGCGGUAGGGGAGAUUGGAAUUCCUGGUGUAGCGGUGGAAUGCGCAGAUAUCAGGAGGAACACCGAUGGCGAAGGCAGAUCUCUGGGCCGUAACUGACGCUGAGGAGCGAAAGCAUGGGGAGCGAACAGGAUUAGAUACCCUGGUAGUCCAUGCCGUAAACGUUGGGAACUAGAUGUAGGGGCCAUUCCACGGUUUCUGUGUCGCAGCUAACGCAUUAAGUUCCCCGCCUGGGGAGUACGGCCGCAAGGCUAAAACUCAAAGGAAUUGACGGGGGCCCGCACAAGCGGCGGAGCAUGCGGAUUAAUUCGAUGCAACGCGAAGAACCUUACCAAGGCUUGACAUAUACCGGAAACCUGCAGAAAUGUAGGCCCCGCAAGGUCGGUAUACAGGUGGUGCAUGGUUGUCGUCAGCUCGUGUCGUGAGAUGUUGGGUUAAGUCCCGCAACGAGCGCAACCCUCGUUCUAUGUUGCCAGCACGUUAUGGUGGGAACUCAUAGGAGACUGCCGGGGUCAACUCGGAGGAAGGUGGGGAUGACGUCAAAUCAUCAUGCCCCUUAUGUCUUGGGCUUCACGCAUGCUACAAUGGCCGGUACAAAGGGCUGCAAUACCGUAAGGUGGAGCGAAUCCCAAAAAGCCGGUCUCAGUUCGGAUUGAGGUCUGCAACUCGACCUCAUGAAGUCGGAGUCGCUAGUAAUCGCAGAUCAGCAACGCUGCGGUGAAUACGUUCCCGGGCCUUGUACACACCGCCCGUCAAGUCAUGAAAGUCGGUAACACCCAACGCCAGUGGCCUAACCCGUAAGGGAGGGAGCUGUCUAAGGUGGGAUCGGUGAUUAGGACUAAGUCGUAACAAGGUAGCCGUACCGGAAGGUGCGGCUGGAUCACCUCCUUU
This 1525-nucleotide ribosomal RNA is filed under the name Subtercola sp. PAMC28395. Its description in RNAcentral is "Bacterial small subunit ribosomal RNA". It matches the Rfam family "Bacterial small subunit ribosomal RNA". The record is from Rfam by way of RNAcentral. Lineage: Bacteria; Bacillati; Actinomycetota; Actinomycetes; Micrococcales; Microbacteriaceae.